CAAAAAUGUGCCGAGUCUUGAUUCUAGUAAGGAUGUCUGAAGUCCACGAAGAAUAGCUUGGGACGUGGCGAACGAACCAACAUUAAUGAAGGGAGAAAGAUGAUAUAAAAUAUUCCCUACUAUACGUUGUGAAUUCCCUAGCUGAGAAAUGUGCUGAUGUACGCGUAGAGGAAUUAUGAGUCAGACAACAGUUGUUUGCAAGAUCAUUGUGUUAUGAGAAACUUGUGACAAUCCUGAAGAGUUCACGAGACUACCACCAACAGUAUGUGAAGAAAAAAAAAAAGAAAAAAAAUAAGAGUAACGUAUUUUUUUGGCUCCCAUAUUUGAAAAGAAGAAACGAGCCACGCAGUCCGAAGAAGCAGACGGGCUACCCACAGAUUCAAACAAAAAGGAGCAGAAGAUUACAAAAGUGGUGUCCCUGUCCUAAGUACUAGCGCCGCAGGAGUGUGGUUUAAAUGUCACCCCUGCAGCCUUGGUGCUUAACACAGGACAUUCUAAGAACUACUAGAUACAUCUGGAUCUCAAGAAAUGGUUCACAAUAACCUGUUAUCAUGUGGAAAUCUUUAUACACUUAAUAUAUAAAAGAUGAAUAUAAUAGAAAAAUUACCAUAUUUAUUAUAAAAAUGUUAAAUAUAAAUAUUGAGUGUAUACCAAUUAAUAUUCAUUUGUUUGAAAUUCUAAUUCUUGGAUUAAUA
Molecule: long non-coding RNA, 695 nt
Organism: Argiope bruennichi
Lineage: Eukaryota; Metazoa; Arthropoda; Arachnida; Araneae; Araneidae
Exons: 3
Source: RefSeq, a predicted model, not a curated record